GCCGUUGUAGCUCAGUCGGUAGAGCACUUCCAUGGUAAGGAAGAGGUCCGCAGUUCGAUUCUGCGCAACGGCUCAA
RNAcentral lists this transfer RNA (76 nucleotides) under Candidatus Campbellbacteria bacterium RIFCSPLOWO2_01_FULL_34_15. RNAcentral's name for it is "tRNA-Thr". It matches the Rfam family "tRNA". From Rfam's summary of the family: Transfer RNA (tRNA) molecules are approximately 80 nucleotides in length. Their secondary structure includes four short double-helical elements and three loops (D, anti-codon, and T loops). The record is from RNAcentral. Lineage: Bacteria; Candidatus Campbelliibacteriota.